RNAcentral lists this ribosomal RNA (429 nucleotides) under Chloroflexota bacterium. RNAcentral's name for it is "Chloroflexi bacterium partial 16S ribosomal RNA". It matches the Rfam family "Bacterial small subunit ribosomal RNA", at positions 355 to 776 of the family's 1533-position model. Lineage: Bacteria; Bacillati; Chloroflexota. The record is from RNAcentral.
UGGGGAAUAUUGCACAAUGGGCGCAAGCUUGAUGCAGCCAUGCCGCGUGUAUGAAGAAGGCCUUCGGGUUGUAAAGUACUUUCAGCGGGGAGGAAGGGAGUAAAGUUAAUACCUUUGCUCAUUGACGUUACCCGCAGAAGAAGCACCGGCUAACUCCGUGCCAGCAGCCGCGGUAAUACGGAGGGUGCAAGCGUUAAUCGGAAUUACUGGGCGUAAAGCGCACGCAGGCGGUUUGUUAAGUCAGAUGUGAAAUCCCCGGGCUCAACCUGGGAACUGCAUCUGAUACUGGCAAGCUUGAGUCUCGUAGAGGGGGGUAGAAUUCCAGGUGUAGCGGUGAAAUGCGUAUAGCUCUGGAGGAAUACCGGUGGCGAAGACGACCCCCUGGACGAAGACUGACGCUCAGGUGCGAAAGCGUGGGGAGCAAACAGG